GUUAUAUGGUCAAGCGAAUAAGCGCACACGGUGGAUGCCUAGGCGGUCAGAGGCGAUGAAGGACGUGGUAGCCUGCGAAAAGUGUCGGGGAGCUGGCAACAAGCUUUGAUCCGGCAAUGUCCGAAUGGGGAAACCCACUGCUUCGGCAGUAUCCUGCAGUGAAUUCAUAGCUGCUGGAAGCGAACCCGGUGAACUGAAAUAUCUAAGUAACCGGAGGAAAAGAAAUCAACCGAGAUUCCCUAAGUAGUGACGAGCGAACGGGGAGCAGCCCUUAAGCUGGAAUGGCUUUAGAAAAACAAUCUGGAAAGAUUGGCCAUAGAAGGUGAUAGCCCUGUAUUUAAAAGGGCCACUCCAGUGAAGACGAGUAGGGCGGGGCACGUGAAACCCUGUCUGAAUAUGGGGGGACCAUCCUCCAAGGCUAAAUACUCCUGACCGACCGAUAGUGAACCAGUACCGUGAGGGAAAGGCGAAAAGAACCCCGGAGAGGGGAGUGAAAUAGAUCCUGAAACCGUGUGCGUACAAGCAGUAGGAGCUCGCAAGAGUGACUGCGUACCUUUUGUAUAAUGGGUCAGCGACUUACUGUUCGUGGCAAGCUUAACCGUAUAGGGGAGGCGAAGGGAAACCGAGUCUGAUAAGGGCGCAUAGUCGCGGGCAGUAGACCCGAAACCGGGUGAUCUAGUCAUGGCCAGGGUGAAGGUGCCGUAACAGGUACUGGAGGCCCGAACCCACGUCUGUUGCAAAAGACGGGGAUGAGCUGUGAUUAGGAGUGAAAAGCUAAUCGAACCCGGAGAUAGCUGGUUCUCCUCGAAAGCUAUUUAGGUAGCGCCUCAUAUGUAUCCUCUCGGGGGUAGAGCACUGUUAUGGCUAGGGGGUCAUCGCGACUUACCAAACCAUUGCAAACUCCGAAUACCGAGACGGACUGUAUGGGAGACACACGGCGGGUGCUAACGUCCGUCGUGAAAAGGGAAACAACCCAGACCCACAGCUAAGGUCCCAAAUUCACUGCUAAGUGGAAAACGAUGUGGAAAGGCACAGACAGCCAGGAGGUUGGCUUAGAAGCAGCCACCCUUUAAAGAAAGCGUAAUAGCUCACUGGUCGAGUCGGUCUGCGCGGAAGAUUUAACGGGGCUAAGCAGUGAACCGAAGCUUGGGGUGCAUAAAACUUGUUUUAUGCGCGGUAGAGGAGCGUUCCGUAAGCCUGCGAAGGUGGAUUGAGAAGUCUGCUGGAGGUAUCGGAAGUGCGAAUGCUGACAUGAGUAACGAUAAUGCGGGUGAAAAGCCCGCACGCCGAAAGCCCAAGGUUUCCUUGCGCAACGUUAAUCGACGCAGGGUUAGUCGGUCCCUAAGGCGAGGGCGAAAGCCGUAGUCGAUGGGAAGCAGGUUAAUAUUCCUGCACCUCGCGUGAGUGCGAUGGAGGGACGGAGAAGGUUAGGUGUACCGGGCGUUGGUUGUCCCGGGGAAAGGCGGUAGGUUUGGAUCUUUGGCAAAUCCGGGAUCCUUUAAGACCGAGCACCGAGACGAGCCUUUAUGGCGAAGUCACUGAUACCACGCUUCCAGGAAAAGCUCCUAAGCUUCAGCUCACGAAGACCGUACCGUAAACCGACACAGGUGGGUAGGAUGAGAAUUCUCAGGCGCUUGAGAGAACUCGGGUGAAGGAACUAGGCAACAUGGCACCGUAACUUCGGGAGAAGGUGCACCCUUUUUGGUGGCUCGUGCGAGCUAUAGCUGAAGAGGGUCGCAGAAACCAGGCCGCUGCGACUGUUUAUCAAAAACACAGCACUCUGCAAACACGAAAGUGGACGUAUAGGGUGUGACGCCUGCCCGGUGCUGGAAGGUUAAUUGAUGGGGUCAGCCGCAAGGCGAAGCUCUUGAUCGAAGCCCCAGUAAACGGCGGCCGUAACUAUAACGGUCCUAAGGUAGCGAAAUUCCUUGUCGGGUAAGUUCCGACCUGCACGAAUGGCGUAACGACAGCGGCGCUGUCUCCACCCGAGACUCAGUGAAAUUGAAAUCGCUGUGAAGAUGCAGCGUUCCCGUGGCAAGACGGAAAGACCCCGUGAACCUUUACUAUAGCUUUACACUGAACGUUGAGUUCGUCUGUGUAGGAUAGGUGGGAGGCUAUGAAACUGUGGCGCUAGCUGCAGUGGAGCCAUCCUUGAAAUACCACCCUGUCGUGCUUGACGUUCUAACCUAGGUCCGUUAUCCGGAUCAGGGACCGUGUAUGGUGGGUAGUUUGACUGGGGCGGUCUCCUCCUAAAGAGUAACGGAGGAGCACGAAGGUACGCUCAGCGCGGUCGGACAUCGCGCACUGUGUGCAAAGGCAUAAGCGUGCUUGACUGCAAGAUCGACGGAUCAAGCAGGUACGAAAGUAGGUCUUAGUGAUCCGGUGGUUCUGUAUGGAAGGGCCAUCGCUCAACGGAUAAAAGGUACUCCGGGGAUAACAGGCUGAUACCGCCCAAGAGUUCAUAUCGACGGCGGUGUUUGGCACCUCGAUGUCGGCUCAUCACAUCCUGGGGCUGUAGUCGGUCCCAAGGGUAUGGCUGUUCGCCAUUUAAAGUGGUACGCGAGCUGGGUUCAGAACGUCGUGAGACAGUUCGGUCCCUAUCUGCCAUGGGCGUUGGAAGUUUGAGAGGGGCUGCUCCUAGUACGAGAGGACCGGAGUGGACGAACCUCUGGUGUUCCGGUUGUCACGCCAGUGGCAUUGCCGGGUAGCUAUGUUCGGAAGCGAUAACCGCUGAAAGCAUCUAAGCGGGAAGCGCGCCUCAAGAUGAGACUUCCCGGGGCACAAGCCCCCUAAAGGAACCAUGUAGACUACGUGGUUGAUAGGUCAGGUGUGUAAGUACAGCAAUGUAUUGAGCUAACUGAUACUAAUGAUCCGUGCGGCUUGACCAUAUAACCU
This 2895-nucleotide ribosomal RNA is filed under the name Xanthomonas melonis. RNAcentral's name for it is "bacterial LSU rRNA". It matches the Rfam family "Bacterial large subunit ribosomal RNA". Lineage: Bacteria; Pseudomonadati; Pseudomonadota; Gammaproteobacteria; Lysobacterales; Lysobacteraceae. The record is from RNAcentral.